Bactrocera oleae (olive fruit fly) is the source of this 675-nucleotide long non-coding RNA. RefSeq lists it as uncharacterized. Lineage: Eukaryota; Metazoa; Arthropoda; Insecta; Diptera; Tephritidae. The record is from RefSeq and is a predicted model, not a curated record.
AAUAUAUUGUAUUGUUAAAAAUGUUGUGCAGAACUACCUUCAAUUCUUAUAUGUAUGUAUAAAUAUGGUUGUUAUUGCUAUUUCUUGUAGUGGGAGGAGUAACAUACAUAUGUAAAUAUGUCCUUUUUACUAUAUACAUGUAUAUAUAUUUAUAUACAUAUAUACGGUGUGUUCAAAGAAAAAGUAAUCAACCUCGGUUAUAAUACACUUGUGCCAACACUUUUUCCAAUCCUCGAAGUACUUCUGAAAUGCGCCUUUCGGUAUGGUCAUCAGCUCUCAAGAACAAUUUUUUCACUGUUUCGAUAGUUUCUUCGCUUGUUGGCGUGGUCGCAUUUCCAGGAUGCUCAUCGUCCUCAACAUCUUCUCGGCAUUCUGUAAAGCGCGUGUACCACUUAUUAACACUUUUUUGAGAUAAAGUGGACGCACCGAAUGCCAUAGUCAACAUUUCAAGUGUCUUGGAGCACAUUAUUAUAUUUUUAACGCAAAAUUUAGUAUAUAUUUUUUGAUCCAUUUCUUUUAAAAGUCAAAAAUCGAAGAGCACACAUAAACGUGAUAAGAUUUCUGUUGUCCAAAACAAACUACUAAUUGAAAUUGACUUCACGAAUAACGUAUUUGAUUCUUGUUAAUACGUAGUUUAAUUUUGUUUGAAUAAAAAAACUACGGAAAAGUACAGUA